Molecule: ribosomal RNA, 800 nt
Filed under: uncultured bacterium
Lineage: Bacteria
Description: bacterial SSU rRNA
Rfam family: Bacterial small subunit ribosomal RNA
Source: RNAcentral
AGAGUUUGAUCCUGGCUCAGAAUGAACGCUGGCGGCGUGGGUUAGGCAUGCAAGUCGAACGCCAAAGCAGGGGCAACUCUGCGAGUAGCGUGGCGAAAGGGUGAGUAAUGCUUGGAUGACCUGCCUUCGAGACGGGGACAACAGUCCGAAAGGACUGCUAAUACCCGAUGGUCCGUUCCGGAUGCGUCCGGACCGGUAAAUGGUUGAUUCCGCUCGAUGAGGGGUCCAAGUCCUAUCAGCUUGUUGGUGAGGUAACGGCUCACCAAGGCUUUGACGGGUAGGCGGACUGAGAGGUCGACCGCCCACAUCGGGACUGAGACACUGCCCGGACUCCUACGGGAGGCUGCAGUCGAGAAUCUUCUGCAAUGGGCGCAAGCCUGACAGAGCGACGCCGCGUGGAGGAUGAAGGCCCUCGGGUUGUAAACUCCUGUCACACGUUAUGAAAUGUACGGCUUACAUCCGUGCACUGACAAAGGCGUGGGAGGAAGCCACGGCUAACUUCGUGCCAGCAGCCGCGGUAAGACGAAGGUGGCUAGCGUUAUUCGGAUUCACUGGGCAUAAAGCGCGCGUAGGCGGCUCUUCAAGUCGGGGGUGAAAGCCUGCAGCUCAACUGCGGAACUGCCUUCGAUACUGUCGAGCUUGAGUGCAGGAGGGGUGAUCGGAAUUCCAGGUGUAGCGGUGAAAUGCGUAGAUAUCUGGAGGAACACCGGAGGCGAAGGCGGAUCACUGGACUGCCACUGACGCUGAGGCGCGAAAGCUAGGGGGAGCAAACAGGAUUAGAUACCCUGGUAGUCCUAGCU